GAAGAUAUAGCUUAGUGGUAGAGUGUGUGUUUGGCAUGCAUGAGGUCCUGGGUUCAAUCCCCAGUGCCUCCA
RNAcentral lists this transfer RNA (72 nucleotides) under Camelus dromedarius (Arabian camel). It matches the Rfam family "tRNA". Rfam says of the family: Transfer RNA (tRNA) molecules are approximately 80 nucleotides in length. Their secondary structure includes four short double-helical elements and three loops (D, anti-codon, and T loops). Further hydrogen bonds mediate the characteristic L-shaped molecular structure. tRNAs have two regions of fundamental functional importance: the anti-codon, which is responsible for specific mRNA codon recognition, and the 3' end, to which the tRNAs corresponding amino acid is attached (by aminoacyl-tRNA synthetases). tRNAs cope with the degeneracy of the genetic code in two manners: having more than one tRNA (with a specific anti-codon) for a particular amino acid; and 'wobble' base-pairing, i.e. permitting non-standard base-pairing at the 3rd anti-codon position. Lineage: Eukaryota; Metazoa; Chordata; Mammalia; Artiodactyla; Camelidae. The record is from Rfam by way of RNAcentral. RNAcentral also lists the same sequence under 1 other name.